This 439-nucleotide ribosomal RNA is filed under the name uncultured bacterium. Its description in RNAcentral is "partial 16S ribosomal RNA". It matches the Rfam family "Bacterial small subunit ribosomal RNA", at positions 339 to 795 of the family's 1533-position model. The record is from RNAcentral.
CUACGGGGGGCAGCAGUGAGGAAUAUUGCACAAUGGGGGAAACCCUGAUGCAGCAACGCCGCGUGGAGGAUGACGCAUUUCGGUGUGUAAACUCCUUUUAUAUGUCAAGAAAAUGACGGUAGCAUAUGAAUAAGCACCGGCUAACUCCGUGCCAGCAGCCGCGGUAAUACGGAGGGUGCAAGCGUUAUUCGGAAUCACUGGGCGUAAAGGACGCGUAGGCGGGUUUUCAAGUCAGGUGUGAAAUCCUAUGGCUCAACCAUAGAACUGCACUUGAAACUGUAAACCUAGAGUAUGGAAGGGGCAGAUGGAAUUAGUGGUGUAGGGGUAAAAUCCGUAGAUAUCACUAGGAAUACCAAAAGCGAAGGCGAUCUGCUGGGACAUUACUGACGCUAAGGCGUGAAAGCGUGGGGAGCAAACAGGAUUAGAUACCCCCGUAGUC